CAUCGUAUUUUCUUAAAGUUGGCUGGUCUGGCUGGGCCUUUGAAAGUGAAGCUGCUGAUUUGAAGCCCAUGUGCGGAUUAAUGAAAUGCAGCGUUUCAUGUUGCUGCAAAGAGGCAAAGCUGAUGGGGUAUUCUUUCUCACGUUCAUUCGCACAGAGUUUUACUCAUUUGGGGAUUUUCUCCCAAUUCUCUCAACCCUCGUUAGGAUUCGCGAGCCAGCAAACAUGACGAAGCAUAGAAGCACUCCAUGGGUCGAGUUGGAAGACGAUCAGAAGCGCUGCGGCCCAAAGAAAAAACCCAAGAUGUUGACCGGUCCGAUGAGCUGUGCUGAGCUGGAUUGACGGUUGAAGAACAAAGCAUAGUUAGUUGAAGGAUACUCCAGAAUAUUCGAAGUUUGUUUUCAGUUCUUUCCCCUUUCCCUCUUUUCUUUUCUGUUAUGGACUUUCUCUAUAAAAGGAAGUCUUGUAAUGAACAAUGUAAGUGCACUGGAUGACAGACUUUGCACUUAGCUUAAGAUUUUUAAUUCUUGCUUUUAGUUUUAGAAUUUAAAGCUUUCGUAGAUACGCUCUUUGCUACACUGGGGUUCUUGGAGCUUUCCAUUGGGUGACAGUGGGAUUGAGAAACUGGUACCUUUUAUUUCCAAUUUUAUGUUCUUGCAAUGAGAAUUUUAAAUUUGAUUCAGUUUACAGCUUUACUUGUUCAUUAAUUCCAUUUACAUUUUCUGCUCUUUAGAUUUCGAUUCCUGAAAUUACUUUUAUGAUUCAGUUUCUUGUUUUUAGUUUUCUUUUAUUGCUUCUUAUUCUGUUUCAUUUCUUUUAGUCUGUUUCAUUCAUCUCUGUUUAGUUAGUUUGCUUUCACCAAUUGAUUGUACAUAUUAGAUGUUAGGUUUUGAUUCUGUGUUAGAGUUUUGGUAAAUUUUUGUAGUUGAAUUUGACUUGAAAUUUAAAGAAGACUAUGCACAUCAAUAUUGUCUUGAUUAGAUGCUACAUGACUGUUAUUCAAGAUGUCUUCUUGAGACAUAGGUUGCUUUAAGAUUUCAAGUUUAAAUUCAAUAACAAAUAUGUGUUUGACCACUUCUUUUCUGAUAUGUGAUUAGGAUUAGAUAUAAAUUCUGUUUUCUUUGGUUGCUUUUAAAAUUCCAAAUUUCUGUUACUUUGAUCAUUCACCUUGGCAAAUUUGGUUCAUUAUAGGUUCUAUGUUUUUCUCUUUCAUUCAGAUGAGUAUCCAAUUAAAGUUUCUUUCUAUUGCUUGUUUUUGAAUAGGUAGCGGUAGAUUUUAGAUUCUGUUAUGUUUGGGUUCUUUGCUUGCAUUAGUGUAUCAUUUUAGGAUAAAAGUCAUGCAUUACUUUCCUUUCUAUUCAUUUACUCAUUCAUGCAUCAUUCAUUAAAUUUCUUCCUUAUCAAUGCAUCUCUAUUCUUUAUAUAGUUUCUGUUUUCAUCUCAUUAUCUUGCAUUCAUUUAGAUUUAGUAGAUGUAUGCAUUAUUAGUUUUUUUUUUUUUUAUAUUAGGUUUCAUUUUACAUUUCACUUUCCCCACCUAGUUUUAGUUUUAGUAAAUAAAUAAAUAGGUUUUAAUUCUAUAUUUUCUAAACUUAACAAGUACCAAGUUCACGGAUUAUAUCCUAGGCGAUAAAAAUUCUUUCAACAAAUGGCGCCGUUGUCGGGGACUUUGGCGACUUAAGUUUCAGAUUGUAGAGUUAGCCUUGUAGUUUUCUAAUUUUCUUUUUUGUGUGUAUAGCAUUAGCUUCUGAAUUUAAAAAAAAAAAUAUUUGUAAAUAGUGGUUUCUUUGCAUGUUAUGGUUUUGCGUGUUGGUAUAAUCUCUGCUUGAAGUGUAGUCCAGGUUGAAAACAGGUUUUGCAACAGACAUCAGAAUUGAAGAGAUGAUUGGUUCUCAGGACUGGCUAUACAAGCUGAUUAAGAGAACACCCAAGUUCCAUGGGUUAGCACAUUAAGACCUACACAAGCACAUCAAAGAGUUUAGCUGGGUGUGCUCCUCCAUGAAGCCUGCUGGAGUUCCAGAGGAAGCAGUGAUGGUGAAGACAUUUUGAAUGUCUCUGCAAGGUGCAGCAAGAGACUGGUUCAUAUAUCAACAGUACCAUCUUGAUAGCUGGCAGGAGAUGCAGCAGAGGUUCCUCAACAAGUACUUUCCAGUAGCUAAAGGAGUUAACCUCAGGAGGGAGAUCACUGCUAUUGCCCAGUCUCAAGAAGAGGGUCUGGCUAAAUACUGGGAGAGGUUCAAAGUGAUUUGUACAGCUUGCCCCAACCACCAGAUUUCAGAGCCCAGACUUCUAUUCUACUUUUAUGAGGACCUAAUCUACAAAGACAAGGUGUUGGUUGAUGCAGCAGCUGGAGGCUCUCUGCUGGACAAGACCCCAACUGAGGUAAGAAAGUUGUUGUGCAAGCUAGCGGGAAAUGAUCCUAAUGAUGCAACUGUGAAUCAAGAAAACAGGUUUUCUCUGAACUGAAUAUUCCAAUUAAUAUUGAUAAGGUUCAACAUCAUUUUAAUGCUUUUGAUCUGUUUAAAGUUGAAGCCAUAGAACCUGUUUUGGAUCUUAUUCCUGUUAUGCAUUUGCAUAGUCUUGAUUCAGCAUUUGACAUAGAACACAUUGAUAUAUCUAUUGUUGUUUCAGAUUUAUGGACUGAUUUUGACACUGUUUCAAUUGAUGAUAGUCUUUCAACGUGUGGAGAUGCAAUCUCUGAGUUUGUGUAUACUGGUGAGAUUGUUUUUGAUGAACCAGUACAGAUUGACUUUGACUUUAAUCCUACCACUAGUUUAUUUGAAAUUCCUUCUGCCUUCAAUAUCUUGCAUGCAUUGCCUGUUAUACAUGCUGAUUCUAUUCAUUCUAAAUUGCUAGAGGAUAUUUUUGUUGUGAAUCAAUUGAAUGCACCUGCUUUUAUGAGUGCUCUGAUUUUAAUGAAGUGAUUUCUGAUGAUCUGUUUGAUAAUAUGCUGGGUGAUUUUGAUUUCAAUCUUGACAAAGUUGCACUAUUUGAUGAUUCACCCAUGGACUUUGGUUUGGCAGUUGAUACACUUGUUGCAGACACUAAUUUCAAGGGAAAUGCAGAGACAAAGGAAGUCUUGGUGGAGGCAGGGGAUGGUCUCAAUGAGACUCAAGGACCCUCGAACGUACAGAAUCAGCCAGAGUUGAAUGGAGAGUUGGGGUUGCUGCAAUGGAGAGCUGAGAAGAAUGAAUUCAGUGCAAUCCUGGAAAAUCUGCAUAGAGGAGCCAAACACAAGAAACCAAAAACAAUAAGCUCUUUCUUGUCCUUUCUUUUAAAUAGUAGUUAUAGGUCUUUUAUAGUAACUAGUAUAGUAAUAGGCAGUGUAGACAAUAAUAUGAUAGAAAAUAUGAUGUUCUAUAUAAAAAUUAAAAAGAUCGAUUUUGAUGUGUGACCCAUUUGAACAAGUUUUCCUUUUCUUUUAGCGUUAUAAUUUUAGUUUUUGUAUUUUUCAGUUUAUGUUUUGUACAUUUCUUGUCAGUUUGUGUUCUUUCUCAACUUUGUUUUGUAUAAAUCUGUUCUGUCUAUCUUGUACAUUCCUGUGGUUGUUCUGUGUUGUUAAAAAAAACCUUACUCACACAUUGAGGGCAAUGUGCCUCUUAAGUGUGGGGUUGAGAAGGUAUAGAUGUAAAUACUUGUUUUUACUUUAAUGUGCAUAUGUUAGUAUGAGUUUUGUAGUGAAAAUAGGAGUAAAUUUUUUUUUCUUUCUAAGUUGAUUUUCUUUUUAGUUUAGGACUAGUUGAGUUUGUAAAUAUUUAGUUCAUAGAUAGUGUAAAUAGCCAUUCGUGUUUCAGGUUGUAAAUAAUUGUUUUUAGCAUGUAAAUACCCAGUUUUUUUUUAUGCUGUUAAAAUCUGUUUUAGUUUUUGUAGAUAGGCAUUUGUUUCAGUUUUUUUCCCUUAUAGGUUCUGUUUUUAAUUUCUGAGUCCUGUUCUGGUUUUUAGUAAUUUUCUAGGAUCUCUUCCAUUCAUUGUCAUUGUUUAGGAUCUUCUUAGGUCUUCUUUUGAUGUUUUCAUUAGUAUGUCUGUUUUAGUUUAGUUUAGGUUCUUCUAAGUUGCAUAUUGUUUUGUUUAGGUUUGGUUCAGAUUGUAUAUAGAGUUAGUAAAUCUGUUAGGCAUGUUUUUAGGUUCUUGUAGGUUCUGUUUGACAUGUUUUUUUUUUUUUUCAAUUCUUUGCUGAUUUACUUCAUUUCUUAGCUUCAUAUCUUUUGUUUAGAAUUGUUCAUAUAGUUUUCUGCUUUAAAUUCAAAUAGAAGUAGUCUUAGCAUUAUUUUUGCAUCUAAGUAUAGCUAAUGAAGCAAUUUUUUCAUAAAAGAGAGUAGCAAGUCACUUUUAGCAUUUCUUAACCUGGAGAGAUUUUGGGCCUGAUUUUUUUUUUCUUUCUAGUGUGAUUUCAUGUAUGUUUGACUUUUGAUUUUGAUUUUGCAUUGAUUCUUUGUGAAAAGCUUGCUCGUAAACUUUAGACAUGAUUUAGGCGUUCUUUUUCUUCAUCCAUAGCCACUUAGCUUAACCAUUUCAGUUUUAUCUAUUGUACCUUUCUUUUGAGCUGUAGCCUACUAUUCUUUGUCUCCAUUCAUUACAAGCCUUUUUUCCCCAGUACAUACCCGACCUGUAAAGACUUGUGAGAAUUAGGGGGAGCAAUAGAAAAGGCCAGAAGUGAAAGAAAAGAAAAAUAAGAUGAACAAUCUGGUUGUGUUGAAAAAAAAAAAAAAAAAGAAAAGAGCAGGUCUGGAAAAAAAAAAAAGAAAAAUGCAAAAGAAUUGAAAGAUAGGACCUGGCAGAAUUGAAAACCAGAGAAAGAAAGAAAAGAUUGGAUUGGCCUAAGUUAGACUUAAACAAAAAGUGUACUGAGUUCUAGGUUCCUUACUUUUCUUCACACUUUCUACUUCCAUAUAACCUUGUGUUUUCUAACCCUUCAUACCAUUACAUUAUAAGCCAAUAAAGUCCUUUUGAUCUAGAUGAAACCAAAGAGCUUAGCAUGGUCACUUAGAGUCUUUUCAAAGUUAAGAAUUGAGGUUGACAUGUCAUGCUUGAGUGAAACAGGACAGCCCUAAACACAUGAGUGAAAAUGAGUGCAAACACUUGUUCUUGUGAGGCUGAAACUGAUUUCUACUUUUCUGAUUGUGUUCAUUGCUGAAAUUGGCUGAAUUUGGUUGUUUAUUACUUGCUGGAUUUCUGUCACUGAGAUUUAAAGUUUAGAAAUAUAAUUGUGCAGUUCUGAUUGAAAAAGUGACUGGAAAUGAUUGAAACUGGCAGGAAUGAUUGAGUUGUGAAUGAGUCUUAUUGUUUUUGAGUUUUUGUUUUGAGUCUUUUCAUUUUGUAAAUUGAGUCUUUGUUUCCAUUUUAGUUUUUCCUAUUCAGGAGAGCAGUUCUCUAAGUAUGGGGUGUGAUAACUUCUAAAUUUCCUCCAUUUUUGUGUGAUAAUAAUAUGUUUUUAAGACAUUUUAGUUUUUAAUUCAUUAGAAAUAGUAUAGUUUAGUAUAAAUAGGAUAAAAAUAGGCUGUAAAUAGAAAUAGUGUUAAUUUUUCCUUUUUAAUUAAAUAAAAUAGUUUUUUUAAUAAUUAGGAAUUUUAUCUUUCAGAAAAAAUAUUAAGAAAGAUAAAUAAAAAAUUCUUUUUGCUUUUAUAGGCUUUUAAUCUUUCUUUUGUUUAAUUUUUUUAACUCUUUCUUUUUUCAGGAUAGCCCAGGUCAAAGGGUCAAAAAAUCUGGUCAAAAUAAGAUUGGGCUGAAGUGGGUAAAGCUGUCAAUGGCUGAUGAUACCUGGGCUGAAUUGAGAAUGGUCCAUUAUGAAGCUGGAAGUGCAACGUUUUGGGCUGAAGCUUAAUGACGCUACGCGUUUUAAGUGGAGAAAAAGGGCGUUGAAGCCUGCACCUCCCCUCCUUGGACCUCCACCUCCCCAUCCCAUUUUUAUCCUUUCUUUUUUUAUUUAUAAUUUUAAUAAUUAUUUAUAUUCCUAUUAUAUCCUUUAAUAAAAUCUAAUUUAUAGAUUAAUUUUAAUUUUAAUAUCUACAAAUAAACCUAACUUUUUUCUUUUCUCGAUUUACUCUCUGGUUUUUUCUCUUUCAUUUGGUUUUUCAAAUUCUUUUUGUUCUCUUUUCUUUGGGUGUCACAAAUUUUGUUCACUGUGUGAAAAUUUUCUUCUCAGAAUCGUUGGCAAUUUUUCUUCUCUUUCCAUGUUAUGACAUGUAUGUGAAAGGACUUUGACACCUAACUCAAUGUGUAAAUAUGUGUAAAUCAAUCAACUUUAGGCUGUCGAAGGAGAGUUGGACAAUGGAAACACUGUGAAAGAUCAUUGUCUGACAUGAAUUUGUCCAACAAAUGUUUAUCAGGCCCUAAACGUAUGUCGACAUCCGUCUGGCCCUGAAACGGAUGUUCAUAUCCGUCGACGAAUGUCCGACCUCCGUUAAUGACGGUCUUCUUCCUGUUGCGCGCAAACAAACCUCUACCAGAAACACAACACAAAACGAAACGAAGGGCGCACAAACAGAGCAAAAUGAAUACAAUCUAAAACCCUAAAUCACAUACAUUUAUAAACCAAGAAAUGAACACAAUGCGAAACGAAAACUAACCUCUCGACAGAAACGAAACGAAGCGCCGCACCACCGCCACACCACGCUGCACCGUCGCCGCUGCACCGCCGCACACACGCAGGCAAUGACGCAAGUACAGAUAGAUCGGAAAGGUUGAAACUUUUAAAAAAUCAAAGUGGAGCUUGGGGGGUGUGUGAAUGGGAAGGGAAGGGGAGGUGGAGAUGUUUUCGAAAAGUUUCGAAAGUGUGAGUGUGAAAGUGAAAAGUCUGUGAGUGAGUGUGAAAGUGAAAGGGUAAAGUGAAAAUUAAGACUAUUUAAUUAAGAGGGUUAAAAAAGUAAAAAUAAUAAAUUUAAAAGGUUAAUUUUGUAAUUAAUGAAAAGUUAAAAAAAAAUGGGGAGGUGUAGGUUUGAAAUGGGGAGGUGGAGGCAUCAAUGCCCGGAGAAAAAAAGGGGUGUUGAUCCCUCCACCUCCCCAUUUGUUACCUCUACCUUCCCAACUUUUUGAAUUUUAUUUUAAUUACAAAAUAAUUAUUUUUCUUCCUUUUUUAACCUUCUAUUUUUUUAACUAUUAACUUUCUUUUACAUUUGUUCCCUCCACCUCUCCCAUUAAAUUUUUACUUUUUAAUUACUGUUUACUUUUAUUCUAUUCAAAACUCCACCUCCAAAAUUUUUGAAUUUUUAAGAUCCGUUUUUCUUCUCCCAGUCACACUCUUCUCUUGGUUAUUUUUGGUCCAAAUUCUAAUAUUUAAAUUAACAAAGACAAAUUCUGACAAUCAAAAUACUUUUAUCUUGGUAAAAAUAAAUAUAUUAAUUAACUUUUCUAAUUUAUUAUAUUAUAUAUGAAUUGAAUUUCAAUAUUUUUAGUAUUGAAGUACAAAAUGAGUGUUUACUGUGCUGCAAUAUACUUGCUUUCCCUCUCACUCUAAGCUUCCACUUGCUCCAUCAAUGAAGUCACCAAUAAGCUUCAGUUUCAGACACGGGUCAACUAGGGUGCGCGAAGCAAACUCAGUGCCGAGUUUAUCUCCCAUGACUCACCGGCACCCACCAUCAAACUAUGCUUUUGUGGAAGAAGACCCUUCAUUGAAGCUGCAACAUUGGGAGUUUACCUUGUUUCCUGUUCAAUCUUCCGUAGCCACAAACUCAUAUUAUGAUUACACGGUAUUUGGUCUUUUGCCACCCAGAUAGCAGAAACAUAAAAUAUUAGAACUUGGGUUCAAAUUCUAGCGAAAGAUUAAGCUUUUUUUGACAUAAUUUGAAAAGAAGAGAUUUUUUUUUUAAUUUUGCUUUGUUUUUGUUUUUGUUUUUGUAGGCUAUGAAAGAGGUGGGAGGAGAAAAAAGAAUCUUAAAUUUGAGGAACGGAUCUCAAAAGUUUGGGGGGUGGGAGGUUUUGAAUAGAAUAAAAGAGAAGAAAAACGAAUCUCAGAUUUAAGGAACGGAUCUCAAAAGUUUGGGGGUUGGAGGUUUUGAAUAGAGUAAAAGUGAAGUAGGGUUAAGUUAAGGGUAAAAUAAUAUUAAAAUUAAAAAAAGUAAAAAGGUUAAAAAAGUAAAAAAAAAAAAUAAUUUGUAAUUAAAAUAAAAUUCAAAAAGAUUGGGGAGGUGGAGGAAACAAAUGGGGAGGUGGAGGAAUCAACACCCGGAGACGCUGCUGUUGUGCACAAACCAAGUCAGGAAUUGGACCAGCGCUGUUGAAAGAGUGGGCUGAAAGGAAUGGGCUGAAGCUGAGUCUUGGUGAUUUAAUGAAACGCAACGUUUUGGUGCGCACCAGCUGCAGCUGCUUGAGGGGUCUUGCAUCUCUGAUAACUCUCAGAUUUUACACUUUAAUUUGUGCUUAAGAGUCCUUGUUAGUGAAUUUUUGUUUUUAAUUGUUUAGAAUUAAGCUAGUUUUAGGUUUUUUCUUGAAUUCUUUAGUUUUGUAUAAUUUUAGUUAAAAUUAGAUUUUUAG
RNAcentral lists this long non-coding RNA (8466 nucleotides) under Vigna radiata. Its description in RNAcentral is "long non-coding RNA (VRAD_LNC009073)". Lineage: Eukaryota; Viridiplantae; Streptophyta; Magnoliopsida; Fabales; Fabaceae. The record is from RNAcentral.